UUCACUAACUCCACGAGAAGAGCAAGUAGGAGAACUCCAUGCAUUUUCUGCCAUUAUUCAAGAAAAAUCCUCAUCAGCCAUCGUCCCCAUCAAAAGCAAGCAAACAACUCAAGAGGAAAACCAACAAGAACAGAUCAUUUCAAAAGGCUUCGAGCAUCAAGGGGAUUAGCACUGCUUUCCCAAGACAGGUUAUGUGAUUAUGAUCUUCAGGCUUUGCCUAUCCAGGUUGAGCAGUUGAUGGAAUGGAAUGAUGUUGAGCGGGUGUUCCUUUGACAUUUCAAGAAAUGUAACCUUGAGUAUACAUCUUCAUAUGUAUAUCUCACACGUUUUCCGCUGCAAAACACUUUGAUUAGGAUAACUUUAUGUUAUGAAAUUGUGACACGUGUUAUUGGGUAAACCACCUUAAUCAGUUCUCAUUUAUGUGUAUGUGUUAUAAGUAUCCAAAUAAUCAUAUAUGAUCCUAGCAUUUUAUCUAUGAGUGACAUUUUCAUAUACUUUAAUGUUAAGUAAUUGUCCAUUUCCAUUUCUUAUUGUUCACCCCAAGUCAUAACCCCGGUUAACCCGUCAUUGGGAUAGUGGGCUGUGACAGAGUGGUAUCAGAGCGGUUCGUUCGCUCUGACCCUAGAAACCUUAUUCUAAAGAGUCGAGUCUAGUUUGAUUCUUUAGACUUACAUGGGUUCAUAUGGCACCGCUCAACACUCCAUUGCAUCGUGCUCAAUCAAGGAAAGAAGGUAACUGCAGUUUCAACGUUUUAAAGAUGUUAAUGUUCUAAAAUGCUUCAUGAAUAUGUUUAUGUGAAGAGCAUGUUAUGAUGAAAUGUUGAAUGUUUUGCCUUUCAUGGCAUAUUUUCGCAGUCUAUGAUGUUAUGAUCAGAUGAAUGAUAGAAAAGUGACAUAUGUUUUCCC
Molecule: long non-coding RNA, 905 nt
Organism: Salvia miltiorrhiza (redroot sage)
Lineage: Eukaryota; Viridiplantae; Streptophyta; Magnoliopsida; Lamiales; Lamiaceae
Exons: 4
Source: RefSeq, a predicted model, not a curated record